UAAAUCAACACUUAGUUUUAUUUAAUAAAUGUGAUUUUAUGAUUUAAGUAAAAUAUGUUUGAUUAUUCAAAAAACCUACGAGUUACGGGGCGGGUUUGGAUAUUUGUUGAUUUGGUGGACAAGGGUAUGGGUUUGAUUAUUCAAAACCCUGUGGGUUACGGAGCGGGUUUGGAUCGGAUUUCGAAAUUUGUUGAAAGGGUUUGGAUCAAGGUCGAUUCGCUCCAAACCCGCCCCAUUGCUAGGUCUAAUGCUCCCCCCGAAAAGAUGAAAAAUACGAAAGAUAUGGGGGUAUGAAGCUGACCUUGGGUUUUGAUCCUUUUUGAAAAGGAAAAUGGAGUGAGUUUUCAGCCUUAGCUAGCUUCUUUGAAGAGAUUGGUGGAGUUUUGGUGUUCUAGGAUCAUAAUCACAAAAAAUGAGGUGGUUAUGAGAGAUGAUCUUAGCAUAAAAUGGAAAUAAACAACGUAGAUGUGAAAUGGACUUACCAAGUUGAUGAUCUUUUGAAGAAUCCAUCUUAACACCUACUUAUACUUCACGAUUUUUGAAGAGAAAAGGAAACAAGUUCUUGGAGUUUAGAGAGAUAUAAGAGAGUUGAGUGUGUGAGUUUGGACGAUAAAUGAGAGAGAUGGUGGUGUUCUUGGCCGUAAAUAGAGGGAGGGAGGAGAGAGGUUGAAACCUAGAUAUUUAGUGGACAAUGCAACUCCUAGAUAUAUGAUGGGUAAGUGUAUGGAUACAUGCCAUGCAAAAAUGAUGUGUCACAAGCUAAUUAAUCCAUAUGUUAUCUUUAUUUUUUUUAAUAUAUAUAUAUAUNNNNNNNNNNNNNNNNNNNNNNNNNNNNNNNNNNNNNNNNNNNNNNNNNNNNNNNNNNNNNNNNNNNNNNNNNNNNNNNNNNNNNNNNNNNNNNNNNNNNNNNNNNNNNNNNNNNNNNNNNNNNNNNNNNNNNNNNNNNNNNNNNNNNNNAUAUGCCGAUCGACCCAAUAUGAGAGGGAAAGAAAGAAAAUUUUGGGCUUGGUUUUGAAUGCAACCGAGACACAUUGGCCCAAUAGAGAUUUUUCGGCCCAAGAAGGCCCAUUUAUGGGUUUGUGGCCCAAUGAAGCUAAAUGGAAAGGUUACUCGGCCCAAUAACUCGGAAUUAUUUCUCUUGGCCCAAUAACAUCUAGGAAAAUGUUUACGGCCCAUUAAGGCACACAACAGAUCUUUUGUCCCAAAAGAACCAAGUUGAGGGGUUAUUGGCCCAUUAGGGCCCAUUAAGAAAGGUUCGGUCCAUUAAGAGUGUUUUAGCCCUAAAAAUGCUAAGAUGGAGUAUUGAGUCCACUAUGACCUAAUAAAGGUAGUCAUGGUCCAACAGUUUAAUUGUGGUUAAGAAGGAAAAAUCUUAUUCCUCUCUUCCUUCGAAGAGUGCUCAAAUUGAUCUCACCAUAAAGAGCCCAAUAUCCCAGAAGAGGAAUAAUGUUGAGGGCACAGAUCUGAGCAUAGAAAAUCUCAAGAUAGAGGAGGCACUCAAGAAGCUGGUCUCUUUCUCUCAAGCUGUAUGUAUUCCUUGAAUUUUGGUCUUUUCCUUUUGUUUUUUGAUUUUGCUUUUGCUGAUGAUGUUCUUGUUUCAUGUCUCCGACCACAUCUCUUUAUCAACUGUUGAUUUGAAGAUCAGGGUUGAGAAGGCUGAGCGCGCUUUGAAAGAGCAGGAGGAGGUAUGAAAGGCAGCCAAUGAGGAUCUGUUGAUGAGGGUGGAACUGCGGACCAAAGAGAAAUCUGAGAAGGUGGAGGAGCAUGUCGUUGGUAUUGAGGAGGUUAUUGUUGAGGUUAAAAUUAAUAUUGGUAUGGGCAUUUUGGAGGCAAAAAUCAAGCUUGUAGAGGAAGUAGAGAACGUAGGAUCCUGGAAUGUAGUCGGUUGGAGUAAAGCCUUGGCUAAGUUGAUUGGCAAGCCUGUUAAUUCUAUUUAGGAUCGUGUAGAGAAGAAGAAGAGAAAAGAGGAGGAGAAAAAGAAGAAGAAGGAGGAGAUGAAGAAGACGAAAGAGACAAAGGUGACUUGGGUGGUGAUGAUCAAACCAUGGUUUAGGUCUGAUUAGGUUUAAAAACAAUUUUAUUAUUUUGGUAUGUAAGACAAUAUUUUCCCUUUUUUGUGGGGUUGACAGGAAACCCCUUUUAUUUUAUGCUUUGGUUGCUUAUAUUAUCUUUCUGCAUGGUUGAUGUGGUUGUAGGAUAAAAGUAGGUUUUGAUAAGUAUUUCCAGAUGAUUAAGAUCCUAAAAGGUUCAGGUUUUACAAGAACUUUUUGGGAUCCUAAUAAUUUGAGAUAACUAAUCAAGAUCAUAAAACAGUUAAGAUCCUUAGAAAAGAUAAGACUUCAGUUAUAGUAUAGGAGAGAAUCCUUUUAACGAAAAUAUUUUUUAGGAAAUAAGAUCAAUACACAAACUCCCGCUCCCCCUCCAAAAGAUGUUGGUUAUAACUACAGGCUACGAUUGUAUACUCAAUAGGUGACAACUGAAACGUCUCACUAGAUUCUUGAUCGAAUUUAUGCAGAAAAGAAAGGAAAACAUAUAAGGUAUAUUCUAGGCCCAAUAAACAUGUAAGUGGAUAACUAGGGCCCACUAAGCAUGUAUAUUAUUUCCAGGCUCGAAAGGAAUAUGAAUACAUACAUAUAUAUAUANUCGAACUCAAGUAUAAGAGCUUUUAGCAUGAUAAAAAUAAUUUCUUGUUUUUGACGUUUCUUUCCCUGGUUUAAGAAAAAUUAUAGAAAAAUCAUCGUAAGUCGAGACUUAGAUCUGUAAACUCUGAGAGUUUGUAAAUGAGUGUACUUUAUUCAUAAUUUUUAUUAAGAUUUUUAAUGUCCUCAAACCAGUGUGAAAAUGUUCAUCUUCACCGACUGGUCCGAAAUCAUUCCUGAAAUGAUAGGCAGUUUUGUAAAAAUCGCCAAAAAUUGUAGAAAAUCGUAUGAAUGUGUGAGAGUAGUCAUUUUAAAGGUAUAAACCUGAACGUUUUGCAUGUAAAACAUUUUUGAAAAAUAUUAUAAUUAAGGUGGUCAAAACAGUCCGUAAUUAGUCCAAAACGUUUCUGUUAAAAGCUGAUCUUUGAGUUUAGGUUAUAGAUGUUUGAACACAACACUUUUUUUUGCUAUUUUGAGUGUAUAAUCUCAGACCUACAAGUUUACCUGUAAUAUAUAAGACAACACAUACUUUUCUCAUGGUGUUUAUGAAGAUCUAAGUGAUAAACUUCAUGUUCAAGUAAAUAUCCAAAAGUUAAACACAUAACACAAAGGUACAUGCAGAUAUCCAACAUUUAAACGAGAGUUGACUUGUAUCCUCCCUAGGUCUGGAAAUGGAGCGGAUUUUGACCCUGAUCCGAUCCAAACCCUUAAUAGUUAUACGGGUUUGGAGCAUAGUUUUUGAUCCGUUUACCUGUUAACGACCCGUACCCGCUAACCCUUUUAUUAAAAGGGUCAGGUAUGGAUCAUCGCCGAUCUGAUCUGUUUAUAACCCACCCCAUAUAAAUUUUAGAAUUAUACAUUUAUAUUUUAUAUUGCCUAAAGUUACUAAGAGGGGAUGCCGCCUACUACUGAAAGACCACAUUAAAUUCCAAUCGGAAUUCCAAAGAGAAAAGGACAAAGACUAAAAUGUUUUUACAUAGGACUCGAGGAAUCAACUUCUAGACUUCUAGUCUUCUCCCAAGAGUCAUGAUUUCAUUUCAUUUAUAUUUCAUCAUGUAAUCACUAAUUUCAUUUAUAAAUCAAUAAGUUCAUUUGUCAAUCGGAAGAAAGUUUGUAAUUCCUAUUCUCUAUCAAUGCAAUCGACGGUCAAAAACCAAUCGGAAGAAACAAAAAUAAUGAUUUUAAUUCCAAUAGAAAGUCCUCGAGUACAUAAUGUGUUUUCUAAAUCAACACUUAGUUUUAUUUAAUAAAUGUGAUUUUAUGAUUUAAGUAAAAUAUGUUUGAUUAUUCAAAAAACCUACGAGUUACGGGGCGGGUUUGGAUAUUUGUUGAUUCGGUGGACAAGGGUAUGGGUUUGAUUAUUCAAAACCCUAUGGGUUACGGAGCGGGUUUGGAUCGGAUUUCGAAAUUUGUUGAAAGGGUUUGGAUCAAGGUCGAUUCGCUCCAAACCCGCCCCAUUGCCAGGUCUAAUCCUCUCCCCGAAAACAUGAAAAAUACGAAAGAUAUGGGGGUAUGAAGCUGACCUUGGGUUUUGAUCAUUUUUGAAAAGGAAAAUGGAGUGAGUUUUCGGCCUUAGCUAGCUUCUUUGAAGAGAUUGGUGGAGUUUUGGUGUUCUAGGAUCAUAAUCACAAAAAAUGAGGUGGUUAUGAGAGAUGAUCUUAGCAUAAAAUGGAAAUAAACAACGUAGAUGUGAAAUGGACUUACCAAGUUGAUGAUCUUUUGAAGAAUCCAUCUUAACACCUACUUAUACUUCACGACUU
This 4399-nucleotide long non-coding RNA is filed under the name Lactuca sativa (garden lettuce). RNAcentral describes it as "long non-coding RNA (LSAT_LNC005237)". The record is from RNAcentral. Lineage: Eukaryota; Viridiplantae; Streptophyta; Magnoliopsida; Asterales; Asteraceae.